GUAGGGAAUAUUGCGCAAUGGGGGAAACCCUGACGCAGCGACGCCGCGUGAGUGAUGAAGGCCUUCGGGUCGUAAAGCUCUGUUGCAGGGGAAUAAAAAAAUGAAGGUACCCUGUGAGGAAGGAUCGGCUAACUUCGUGCCAGCAGCCGCGGUAAGACGAGGGAUCCUAGCGUUGCUCGGAAUCAUUGGGCGUAAAGAGGGCGUAGGUGGCUUGGUAAGUCAGGUGUGAAAGCCCAGGGCUCAACCCUGGAAGUGCAUUUGAUACUGCUGAGCUUGAGUGUCGGAGAGGUUACCGGAAGACCUGGUGUAGUGGUGAAAUACGUAGAUAUCAGGUGGAACACCGGAGGCGAAGGCGGGUAACUGGACGAACACUGACACUGAGGCCCGAAAGCGUGGGGAUCAAACAGGAUUAGAUACCCUGGUAGUCC
RNAcentral lists this ribosomal RNA (428 nucleotides) under uncultured bacterium. RNAcentral describes it as "partial 16S ribosomal RNA". It matches the Rfam family "Bacterial small subunit ribosomal RNA", at positions 354 to 796 of the family's 1533-position model. The record is from RNAcentral.